RNAcentral lists this ribosomal RNA (32 nucleotides) under Candida albicans. RNAcentral's name for it is "partial 18S ribosomal RNA". The record is from RNAcentral. Lineage: Eukaryota; Fungi; Ascomycota; Pichiomycetes; Serinales; Debaryomycetaceae.
UUUCGGUAGGGGAACUUGGGGAAGGACCAUUA